GUAGGUGGCAAGCGUUGUCCGGAAUUAUUGGGCGUAAAGCGCGCGCAGGCGGUCCUUUAAGUCUGAUGUGAAAGCCCGCGGCUCAACCGUGGAGGGUCAUUGGAAACUGGGGGACUUGAGUACAGAAGAGGAAAGCGGAAUUCCAAGUGUAGCGGUGAAAUGCGUAGAGAUUUGGAGGAACACCAGUGGCGAAGGCGGCUUUCUGGUCUGUAACUGACGCUGAGGCGCGAAAGUGUGGGGAGCAAACAGGAUUAGAUACCCUGGUAGUCCACGCCGUAAACGAUGAGUGCUAAGUGUUAGGGGGUUUCCCGCCCCCCUUAGUGCUGCAGCUAACGCAUUAAGCACUCCGCCUGGGGAGUACGGCCGCAAGGCUG
This 374-nucleotide ribosomal RNA is filed under the name uncultured organism. RNAcentral describes it as "partial 16S ribosomal RNA". It matches the Rfam family "Bacterial small subunit ribosomal RNA", at positions 527 to 896 of the family's 1533-position model. The record is from RNAcentral.